AUGCCUCUUCGACUUGAUAUCAAGAGAAAACUAACUGCUAGAUCUGAUCGAGUUAAGAGUGUGGAUUUGCAUCCUACAGAGCCAUGGAUGUUGGCAAGUCUUUAUAAUGGCAGUGUAUGUGUUUGGAAUCAUGAAACACAGGUAGGAUUUUUUAAAAAAAGACUAUUAAAAAUAAAAUACUGUAUUUUUAUAAUGAAUGAGAAAAAUAUAAGAGUCUAUUAGCUAUAUGCACACUGCUUUCUCAAAUUAGUGCAAAUUAUUUUAAAUAGAGAGGAACUACAUUUAUGAGGGUAUUGCUUGCAGACAUGGCAUUUAUGAUAUUUAAAUGUAGCGACUCUGAUGUAGUGUUUUCUUUGAAAUUGAGGAAACUGAUGCUGAAAUGUAAAGGGACUUGAUGUAGAUAAAGCAUUUCAAUGUUAAUACUAGUUUCCUAUUCUAUCUUUUUAAAAAAAUUAAUUAAGUUUAUUGGUACACUUUAGGUAUACAUCAUGAUCACAUUCAUCAUAGGAAUUUGUACCUGUGCAUGAUAUAUCUUGAUUCUUAUUUUUCCCCAUUCCCCUUCCCUCCCUUCAACGCUGCUUCCCCCUUUAUUUACAAAAGCUUUAUUUCCAUUUUUUUCUUUUCUCAUUUUUUUCCUUUCUCUUCCUUCCUUUUCCCUGCCCCUCUCCCUUAGUUUUCUUCCUAUUUCAUGAUAUCUGUUAUACAUUUUGGUCCUUAUUUACACUUUCAGUUUUUCAUACCAGAGAAACAAUGCAGUUUUUAUACAUGUGUGUCUCAUUUAUUUCAAUUAAGAGUACGGCCUCAAGAUACAUCCAUUUAACUAUAAAUGUGUCAAGUUUAUCUUUCUUUAUGGCUGAGUAGU
This 862-nucleotide long non-coding RNA is filed under the name Fukomys damarensis (Damara mole-rat). RNAcentral's name for it is "lncRNA (ENSFDAG00000023040.1)". The record is from RNAcentral. Lineage: Eukaryota; Metazoa; Chordata; Mammalia; Rodentia; Bathyergidae.